CCCUACGGGGUGCACGGCAGGGCGUUUGUGUUGAAGCUCAACAAAUGAAGGGAUGGACAACAUCCUAAUCGUUGAUCAGUGAGAAUCUCCGUCAAUUUCUCCAAUAGGCCAUGACAUUCUUUUUCUUGACAAUCGAGAAUGCUUCAGAGUAUGGACUGCGCCAAGGUGCCGUUACGGCUUAAUAGGGAAUCCCGUGAGAACCGGGAGCGGUCCCGCCGCUGUAACCCCUCCCUUCACCCGAAGGGAACCUGUUUAGCCUUGUGAGCCACUUUUCCGCACCAGCGGGAUGGGAAGGCUGCUGAGCAGGCGGGGGGGC
Molecule: ribosomal RNA, 316 nt
Filed under: uncultured prokaryote
Source: RNAcentral